UCUGCUAUAGGAUAGGAUCGUGUUCGAUUAUGGUUGUUGGUGAGGUAAUGGCUCACCAAGCCGAUAAUCGAUAGGGGCCGUGAGAGCGGGAGCCCCGAGAUGGGUACUGAGACAACGACCCAGGCCUUACGAGGCGCAGCAGGCGCGAAACCUCCGCAAUACACGAAAGUGUGACGGGGUUACCCAAAGUGUUCAAUUUUGAACUGUGGUAGGUGAGUAAUGUUCCCUACUAGAAAGGAGAGGGCAAGGCUGGUGCCAGCCGCCGCGGUAAAACCAGCUCUUCAAGUGGUCGGGAUAAUUAUUGGGCUUAAAGUGUCCGUAGCCGGUUUAGUAAGUUCCUGGUAAAAUCGGGUAGCUUAACUAUCUAUAUGCUAGGAAUACUGCUAUACUAGAGGGCGGGAGAGGUCUGAGGUACUACAGGGGUAGGGGUGAAAUCUUAUAAUCCUUGUAGGACCACCAGUGGCGAAGGCGUCAGACUGGAACGCGCCUGACGGUGAGGGACGAAAGCCAGGGGAGCGAACCGGAUUAGAUACCCGGGUAGUCCUGGCCGUAAACGAUGCAUACUAGGUGAUGGUACGGCCAUGAGCCGUGUCAGUGCCGUAGGGAAACCGUUAAGUGUGCCGCCUGGGAAGUACGGUCGCAAGGCUAAAACUUAAAGGAAUUGGCGGGGGAGCACCACAAGGGGUGAAGCCUGCGGUUCAAUUGGACCCAACGCCGGAAAACUUACCAGGGGAGACAGCAGUAUGACGGUCAGGUUGACGACCUUACCUAACGAGCUGAGAGGAGGUGCAUGGCCGUCGCCAGUUCGUGCCGUGAGGUAUCCUGUUAAGUCAGGCAACGAACGAGAUCCGCACCUUUAUUUGCCACCAAGAAGUCACGACUUCGUUGGGAACACUAAAGGGACCGCCGUCGAUAAGACGGAGGAAGGAGCGGGCAAAGGCAGGUCAGUAUGCCCCGAAACCCCUGGGCUACACGCGGGCUGCAAUGGUAUGAACAAUGGGCUGUGACUCCGAAAGGAGAAACCAAUCCCGAAAUCAUAUCUCAGUUGGAAUUGUCGGCUGUAACCCGCCGACAUGAACGCGGAAUCCCUAGUAAUCGUGUGUCAUCAUCGCACGGUGAAUACGUCUCUGCUCCUUGCACACACCGCCCGUCGCUCCAUCCGAGUGUGCUAAAAAUGAGGUUUGGUCAAUUUGGUCAUAUCGAGUUUCUAGUAUGCGAGGAGGGAGAAGUC
RNAcentral lists this ribosomal RNA (1231 nucleotides) under metagenome. Its description in RNAcentral is "bacterial SSU rRNA". It matches the Rfam family "Archaeal small subunit ribosomal RNA", at positions 198 to 1434 of the family's 1478-position model. The record is from RNAcentral.